This 468-nucleotide ribosomal RNA is filed under the name uncultured bacterium. RNAcentral's name for it is "partial 16S ribosomal RNA". It matches the Rfam family "Bacterial small subunit ribosomal RNA", at positions 28 to 507 of the family's 1533-position model. The record is from RNAcentral.
GACGAACGCUGGCGGCGUGCUUAACACAUGCAAGUCGAACGGAAAGGCCCUGCUUUUGUGGGGUGCUCGAGUGGCGAACGGGUGAGUAACACGUGAGUAACCUGCCCUUGACUUUGGGAUAACUUCAGGAAACUGGGGCUAAUACCGGAUAGGAGCUCCUGCUGCAGGGUGGGGGUUGGAAAGUUUCGGCGGUUGGUGAUGGACUCGCGGCUUAUCAGCUUGUUGGUGGGGUAGUGGCUUACCAAGGCUUUGACGGGUAGCCGGCCUGAGAGGGUGACCGGACACAUUGGGACUGAGAUACGGCACAGACUACUACGGGAGGCAGCAGAGGGGAAGAUUGUACAAUGGGCGGAAGCCUGAUGCAGCAACGCAGCGUGGGGGAUGACAGCAAUGGGGUUGUAAACCGCUUUCGCCUGUGACGAAGCGUGAGUGACGGUAAUGGGUAAAGAAGCACCGGCUAACUACGUG